Molecule: long non-coding RNA, 1105 nt
Filed under: Cyanistes caeruleus (blue tit)
Lineage: Eukaryota; Metazoa; Chordata; Aves; Passeriformes; Paridae
Description: lncRNA (ENSCCEG00000010942.1)
Source: RNAcentral
CCCUCACAAAUCACCCCUGGCAGACAGAAUCUCACUGAGGAUGAAGAUAUUUGCUCUGUUAGCAUGGAAAACAUGCACUCCAAGUCUUGUUGGAGUGUAAACUGCCUGGAAGCUCUUUUUUCCCAAGGAAUGUAUUUAUUCAAUCCCUCUUUGAUCAUCCAGGGAUAGAAGCCUCAGCUAUGUCUGUGCACAUAAAACAAUUUUUUUGUUGCAGCGACCCAAGCAGGUUGGUUUAGUGACAGUGAUUUAUGGAGAGCUCCCUUUUUGGAGGCUAUAAUGUUAAUUAAUUGCUUCUGGAGGACUUGGAUAAAAAGCAUAUUUACUCCUGCCACAGUCAAACGCUCAAUAUUUUGUGCAUUCCCCAAAUCUUUCCCAUGGAUGUCCACAGAACAAUGGCCCAGCAAACGAGGCAGCUGCAGGAGGAGAUCAGACACAAUUCUGAAAUAGUCAAUUAUUUAGAUUAAUUAAUGAGUAAUGCCUCUGCAUGCAUUUUGCAUGUCAUUUGAAUAUUCCAAAGCCAGAGCUUUCAGUUGUUACUGUGCCUCUGGCAGAGCCACAUUCCUUGCAGCAAUCCCAGGGAAUGCUGCUCUGCAGAAACUUCAGGAUUUCUUCUUGCCAGGAGUCCUUGGGAAACCCAGCAGCAUCUCUGAGGACCAUCAGGGAUUGGUGUUUAAACUGGUUCCAGGGCAGAAGAAGCUCUGAACAUGCGAGGGUUCCGUGGACACAUCCAGAGGUGGAACUUCCACAGACCUGCCCAAACAUCCAGAACUGGGCUGUACAGACACAAUCCCUCCUCACCACGAAUCCAGGGCUGUUCACACCCUCCAGUUCAGCAGCAUUCCCUGGAGCUGCUCUGCACUCGGAGAGACAAACUCACCUUCUCCCUGGAUGCCUGUUUGUGGGUAAGGCUGUGAUGAGUCACAGAGAUCCAGGAACUCCUGGGGGCUGGGAAUCCAUGGGAACAGCUCAUUUCCAAGGGACCAAGCUCAGGUAUGUGUGCACAGAAAGCAAUUCCUUCUCCUCUGCUGACUCAUUUCCCUGGGAGAGCGGCACAAGGGCCAGAAAAGCCUUGCCUGCAUUGUUAGGUCAGUCCCUUCCAAAUUAA